This 56-nucleotide transfer RNA is filed under the name Anisocentropus kawamurai. RNAcentral describes it as "tRNA-Val". The record is from RNAcentral. Lineage: Eukaryota; Metazoa; Arthropoda; Insecta; Trichoptera; Calamoceratidae.
CAAAUUUUCCUAAAUUCAUUUACAUUGAAAAAUAUAAGUAUAAUACUUAAAUUUGA